This is a long non-coding RNA of Malurus melanocephalus (red-backed fairy wren), 229 nucleotides long. RefSeq lists it as uncharacterized. The transcript has 2 exons. The record is from RefSeq and is a predicted model, not a curated record. NCBI's taxonomy places the organism in Eukaryota, Metazoa, Chordata, Aves, Passeriformes, Maluridae.
CCCCAAAAAAUAACCCAAAAAAAACUGCCCAAAAAACCCCAAAAUAACCCCCCACAAAACACCGAAAUCACAGCGAAAUUACAUCAAAAUAACCCCAAAUCUCCCCAAAGGGCAAAGGGACGGUGCUGCUGUCGGGUCCCCGCAAGGCCCGCGAGGUUUAUCGACAUUUCGGGAAAGCGCCCGGAACCCCCCACAGCCACACCAAGUGCGGAAUUUGGGGAAAAUUUGG